UCCGAGUUGUAAUUUGCAGAGGGCGCUUUGGCAUUGGCAGCGGUCCAAGUUCCUUGGAACAGGUCGUCACAGAGGGUGAGAAUCCCGUACGUGGUCGCUAGCCUUUACCGUGUAAAGCCCCUUCGACGAGUCGAGUUGUUUGGGAAUGCAGCUCUAAAUGGGAGGUAAAUUUCUUCUAAAGCUAAAUACUGGCCAGAGACCGAUAGCGCACAAGUAGAGUGAUCGAAAGAUGAAAAGCACUUUGGAAAGAGAGUUAAAAAGCACGUGAAAUUGUUGAAAGGGAAGCGCUUGCAGCCAGACUUGCCUGUAGUUGCUCAUCCGGGUUUCUACCCGGUGCACUCUUCUAUAGGCAGGCCAGCAUCAGUUUGGGCGGUUGGAUAAAGGUCUCUGUCAUGUACCUCCUUUCGGGGAGAACUUAUAGGGGAGACGACAUGCAACCAGCCUGGACUGAGGUCCGCGCAUCUGCUAGGAUGCUGGUGUAAUGGCUGUAAGCGGCCCGUCUUGAAACACGGACCAAGGAGUCUAACAUCUAUGCGAGUGUUUGGGUGUCAAGCCCGAACGCGUAAUGAAAGUGAACGGAGGUGGGAACCUUUCGGGGUGCACCAUCGACCGAUCCUGAUGUCUUCGGAUGGAUUUGAGUAAGAGCA
This 647-nucleotide ribosomal RNA is filed under the name Remotididymella anemophila. Its description in RNAcentral is "Didymellaceae sp. HBZ-2020a partial large subunit ribosomal RNA". It matches the Rfam family "Eukaryotic large subunit ribosomal RNA", at positions 137 to 802 of the family's 3401-position model. The record is from RNAcentral. Lineage: Eukaryota; Fungi; Ascomycota; Dothideomycetes; Pleosporales; Didymellaceae.